UACGUAGGUGGCAAGCGUUGUCCGGAUUUACUGGGCGUAAAGAGCGCGCAGGCGGUCGUUCAAGUCGCGUGUGAAAGCCCCCGGCUCAACUGGGGAGGGUCACGCGAUACUGAUCGACUGGAAGGCAGGAGAGGGUAGUGGAAUUCCCGGUGUAGUGGUGAAAUGCGCAGAUAUCAGGAGGAACGCCGGUGGCGAAAGCGGCAUGCUGGGUCCCUUCUGACGCUGAGGCGCGAAAGCCAGGGGAGCAAACGGG
RNAcentral lists this ribosomal RNA (253 nucleotides) under uncultured bacterium. Its description in RNAcentral is "partial 16S ribosomal RNA". It matches the Rfam family "Bacterial small subunit ribosomal RNA", at positions 524 to 776 of the family's 1533-position model. The record is from RNAcentral.